RNAcentral lists this ribosomal RNA (395 nucleotides) under uncultured bacterium. RNAcentral describes it as "bacterial SSU rRNA". It matches the Rfam family "Bacterial small subunit ribosomal RNA", at positions 28 to 430 of the family's 1533-position model. The record is from RNAcentral.
GACGAACGCUGGCGGCGUGCUUAACACAUGCAAGUCGAACGGUAAGGCCCUUCGGGUACACGAGUGGCGAACGGGUGAGUAACACGUGGGUGAUCUGCCCUGCACUUCGGGAUAAGCCUGGGAAACUGGGUCUAAUACCGGAUAGGACUCCGAAUCGCAUGGUUUGGGGUGGAAAGCUUUUGCGGUGUGGGAUGGGCCCGCGGCCUAUCAGCUUGUUGGUGGGGUGAUGGCCUACCAAGGCGACGACGGGUAGCCGGCCUGAGAGGGUGUCCGGCCACACUGGGACUGAGAUACGGCCCAGACUCCUACGGGAGGCAGCAGUGGGGAAUAUUGCACAAUGGGCGCAAGCCUGAUGCAGCGACGCCGCGUGAGGGAUGACGGCCUCGGUUGUAACC